Molecule: long non-coding RNA, 127 nt
Organism: Aquila chrysaetos chrysaetos
Lineage: Eukaryota; Metazoa; Chordata; Aves; Accipitriformes; Accipitridae
Exons: 3
Source: RefSeq, a predicted model, not a curated record
UUCCCCAAACUGCUAAACUCCAUUCUAGUUCCUACACAGUGUCCUUCUCAAUGGCAAAGGGGCAAGAAGAAAUGCAAGCAAACCAUUUCUAGAUGCAUCCUGGCACCGGAAAGCCUCAAACAGGCAG